RNAcentral lists this ribosomal RNA (480 nucleotides) under Streptococcus mitis. Its description in RNAcentral is "bacterial SSU rRNA". It matches the Rfam family "Bacterial small subunit ribosomal RNA", at positions 28 to 493 of the family's 1533-position model. Lineage: Bacteria; Bacillati; Bacillota; Bacilli; Lactobacillales; Streptococcaceae. The record is from RNAcentral.
GACAAACGCUGGCGGCGUGCCUAAUACAUGCAAGUAGAACGCUGAAGGAGGAGCUUGCUUCUCUGGAUGAGUUGCGAACGGGUGAGUAACGCGUAGGUAACCUGCCUGGUAGCGGGGGAUAACUAUUGGAAACGAUAGCUAAUACCGUAUAAUAGUAGAUGUUGCAUGACAUUUGCUUAAAAGGUGCAAUUGCAUCACUACCAGAUGGACCUGCGUUGUAUUAGCUAGUUGGUGGGGUAACGGCUCACCAAGGCGACGAUACAUAGCCGACCUGAGAGGGUGAUCGGCCACACUGGGACUGAGACACGGCCCAGACUCCUACGGGAGGCAGCAGUAGGGAAUCUUCGGCAAUGGACGGAAGUCUGACCGAGCAACGCCGCGUGAGUGAAGAAGGUUUUCGGAUCGUAAAGCUCUGUUGUAAGAGAAGAACGAGUGUGAGAGUGGAAAGUUCACACUGUGACGGUAUCUACCAGAAAGGAC